CGGCAGAUGGGGUGAGUGGCUGAAACCGCCGGAUUGUAGUCCCGGACCCCGUUAGGGGCGCGUUGGUUCAAAUCCAACUCUGCCGACCA
RNAcentral lists this transfer RNA (89 nucleotides) under compost metagenome. RNAcentral describes it as "tRNA-Tyr". It matches the Rfam family "tRNA". From Rfam's summary of the family: Transfer RNA (tRNA) molecules are approximately 80 nucleotides in length. The record is from RNAcentral.